Molecule: ribosomal RNA, 365 nt
Filed under: uncultured bacterium
Lineage: Bacteria
Description: partial 16S ribosomal RNA
Rfam family: Bacterial small subunit ribosomal RNA
Source: RNAcentral
CCUACGGGAGGCAGCAGUGAGGAAUAUUGGUCAAUGGGCGCAGGCCUGAACCAGCCAAGUCGCGUGAGGGAAGACUGCCCUAUGGGUUGUAAACCUCUGUUAUAAGGGAAGAAGAAUGACUACGUGGAGGCAGAUGCACGUACCUUAUGAAUAAGCAUCGGCUAACUCCGUGCCAGCAGCCGCGGUAAUACGGAGGAUGCGAGCGUUAUCCGGAUUUAUUGGGUUUAAAGGGUGCGUAGGCGGUAUUUUAAGUUAGUGGUAAAACGUCGGGGCUUCACCUUGAUUGGCCAUUUAAACUGGAGUACUAGCUUACAGACGAGGUAGGCGGAAUCCGUUCCGUAGCGGUGAAAUGCUUCGAUCUCACU